RNAcentral lists this ribosomal RNA (253 nucleotides) under uncultured bacterium. RNAcentral's name for it is "partial 16S ribosomal RNA". It matches the Rfam family "Bacterial small subunit ribosomal RNA", at positions 524 to 776 of the family's 1533-position model. The record is from RNAcentral.
UACGGGGGGGGCAAGCGUUGUUCGGAAUUACUGGGCGUAAAGGGCUCGUAGGUGGCCAACUAGGUCAGACGUGAAAUCCCUCGGCUUAACCGGGGAACUGCGUCUGAUACUGGAUGGCUUGAGUUCGGGAGAGGGAUGCGGAAUUCCAGGUGUAGCGGUGAAAUGCGUAGAUAUCUGGAGGAACACCGGUGGCGAAGGCGGCAUCCUGGACCGAUACUGACGCUGAGGAGCGAAAGCCAGGGGAGCAAACGGG